This is a long non-coding RNA of Symphalangus syndactylus (siamang), 1378 nucleotides long. RefSeq lists it as uncharacterized. The record is from RefSeq and is a predicted model, not a curated record. NCBI's taxonomy places the organism in Eukaryota, Metazoa, Chordata, Mammalia, Primates, Hylobatidae.
CGGGACCCCUCUCUGUGACUGUGAGCUGUUCUGUUCUUUUGCCUAUUAAACUCCUGCUCCAAACUCACUCUAUAUGUGUGUGCGUGUCCUCGACCUCAAUAUCCUUGGUCGUGAGACCAAGAACCUCAGUAUUUACCCCAGACAACAAGGCUGCUUCAUUUUGAGGGCUUGUCCGGGAUUUGAAGGUGACUUCAUCAGAAGGCUUUGCUGCUAAAGGGAUCUGCAGUCCAGUUGAAAAACUGCCCUUGCCUGAGCCCAGCCACUUUCUCCCAAAGAAAACUGGAGAAUCUAAACAUGAUUGUGAACAGAAUGACUUCCGGUGGCCUGGGACUCCUUGGAGAAACAGAAAAGGGGCCACAAAUCCCAUUUUAGGAAAAAUCUGUUUUCCUCGGAGCCCCUGGAAUUAAAGCAAUCUCCGGCUGCAGCUCAGAGAAAACAGAAAGGCAUGGGUAAUAGAAAAAUCUGGAAACAUGUUCUAGUUCUAGGCAAUUAUCCUACAAAUCCUGCCAGGUAAACUAUAACCCCAAGGUUUCCCUCUUUUUUUGGGAAAGUAAGACCAAGGAAGCUAAACAAAGCCAAGCCCCAUAUACCCACUCACAACAGCACAACCCAUCUGAAUGGCUCACAGGUAUCAAACAAACUCUGUUGUCAUGGUUACAGUCUAUAGUGCCCCUACUAAGAAUAGUAAUCUUAAUACUCAUAUUUGGAACCUAUAUUCUAAAUGUCCUUGUAAAGUUUAUCUCUUCUCGCUUAGAAACCAUUAAGCUUCAGAUGGUGGCGCAAAUGGAGCCGAAAAUGAAACUGCCCUCCUAUGAGGGACCCUUAAAUCAACCCCAGGAGGAGCCCUAGCUGCUGUUCCCCACACAACGCCACUCUCCAGCAGGAAGCAGCCAGAAGAAAUCGUCACCCAGUUUCCCCUAGCAGCAGUUACGGAUUCCAUUCCUGAGGGGGGAAAUAUGUUAUAGGAGGCAGAAAGAAAUUAUUUCGGUAGACAUUUAAGGCGCACUAAGAUAGAGGAGCUAAAAACAGACUUGGGGGGAUGUCUGCAGCUCCAAGAAGAUGUGUGGAAACAGACACAGAAACUCUCCCUCCCAGAUAAGCAAGACAAAGAAACACAGAAUAAGAGUCCAUCUAUGUGGUCAGAGAAUGGGAUAAGAGCUGAUUAAAAAAAACCCUGCGCUAUACAGAUCGCACACCUGGUCCCAACUAAACCACUGGGCCCUAGGAGCAUAAGACAUCCUCUGCUCAUGAGCCCCCUCCUCAGUAGCCCAUUUAUAAAAACCCUGACAAUUUUACUACCACUUGGCAACCCGCUCGGGACCCCUCUCUGUGAUGGAGAGCUGUUCUUUUCUUUUGCCUGUUAAACUCCUGCUCCAAA